GUUUUGGAGAGUUUGAUCCUGGCUCAGGAUGAACGCUGGCGGCGUGCUUAACACAUGCAAGUCGAACGAUGAAGCUACAGCUUGCUGUGGUGGAUUAGUGGCGAACGGGUGAGUAUCACGUGAGUAACCUGCCCUUGACUCUGGGAUAAGCCUGGGAAACUGGGUCUAAUACUGGAUAUGACUUCUGACCGCAUGGUUGGUUGUGGAAAGUUUUUGCGGUUUUGGAUGGACUCGCGGCCUAUCAGCUUGUUGGUGGGGUAAUGGCCUACCAAGGCUUCGACGGGUAGCCGGCCUGAGAGGGUGACCGGCCACACUGGGACUGAGACACGGCCCAGACUCCUACGGGAGGCAGCAGUGGGGGAUAUUGCACAAUGGGCGCAAGCCUGAUGCAGCGACGUCGCGUGAGGGAUGACGGCCUUCGGGUUGUAAACCUCUUUCAGCAGGGAAGAAGCUUUGGUGACGGUACCUGCAGAAGAAGCACCGGCUAACUACGUGCCAGCAGCCGCGGUAAUACGUAGGGUGCGAGCGUUAUCCGGAAUUAUUGGGCGUAAAGAGCUCGUAGGCGGUUUGUCGCGUCUGCUGUGAAAGCUCAGGGCUUAACUCUGAGUUUGCAGUGGGUACGGGCAGACUGGAGUGCAGUAGGGGAGAUUGGAAUUCCUGGUGUAGCGGUGGAAUGCGCAGAUAUCAGGAGGAACACCGAUGGCGAAGGCAGGUCUCUGGGCUGUUACUGACGCUGAGGAGCGAAAGCAUGGGGAGCGAACAGGAUUAGAUACCCUGGUAGUCCAUGCCGUAAACGUUGGGCACUAGGUGUGGGGGAUAUUUCCACGUUUUCCGCGCCGUAGCUAACGCAUUAAGUGCCCCGCCUGGGGAGUACGGCCGCAAGGCUAAAACUCAAAGGAAUUGACGGGGGCCCGCACAAGCGGCGGAGCAUGCGGAUUAAUUCGAUGCAACGCGAAGAACCUUACCAAGGCUUGACAUACACCGGAUCGUUCCAGAGAUGGUUCUUCCCUUUUUGGGCUGGUGUACAGGUGGUGCAUGGUUGUCGUCAGCUCGUGUCGUGAGAUGUUGGGUUAAGUCCCGCAACGAGCGCAACCCUCGUUCUAUGUUGCCAGCAUUUGGUUGGGGACUCAUAGGAGACUGC
RNAcentral lists this ribosomal RNA (1141 nucleotides) under Auritidibacter ignavus. RNAcentral describes it as "bacterial SSU rRNA". It matches the Rfam family "Bacterial small subunit ribosomal RNA", at positions 1 to 1152 of the family's 1533-position model. Lineage: Bacteria; Bacillati; Actinomycetota; Actinomycetes; Micrococcales; Micrococcaceae. The record is from RNAcentral.